UGCGUAGGCGGACUAAUAAGUCAGUGGUGAAAUCUCUCGGCUCAACCGGGAAACUGCCAUUGAUACUGUUAGUCUUGAGUUCGGUUGUGGUAGGCGGAAUGUGUAAUGUAGCGGUGAAAUGCUUAGAUAUUACACAGAACACCAAUUGCGUAGGCAGCUUACUAGACCGACACUGACGCUGAGGCACGAAAGCGUGGGUAGCGAACAGGAUUAGAUACCCUGGUAGUCC
Molecule: ribosomal RNA, 229 nt
Filed under: uncultured bacterium
Lineage: Bacteria
Description: partial 16S ribosomal RNA
Rfam family: Bacterial small subunit ribosomal RNA
Source: RNAcentral